GUAACCUCUGGGACCGUGGUAUCACUGUUGAGUGAGGUAGACAUUGAGGUAACCUCUGGGACCGUGGUAUCACUGUUGAGUGAGGUAGACAUUGAGGUAACCUCUGGGACCGUGGUAUCACUGUUGAGUGAGGUAGACAUUGAGGUAACCUCUGGGACCGUGGUAUCACUGUUGAGUGAGGUAGACAUUGAGGUAACCUCUGGGACCGUGGUAUCACUGUUGAGUGAGGUAGACAUUGAGGUAACCUCUGGGACCGUGGUAUCACUGUUGAGUGAGGUAGACAUUGAGGUAACCUCUGGGACCGUGGUAUCACUGUUGAGUGAGGUAGACAUUGAGGUAACCUCUGGGACCGUGGUAUCACUGUUGAGUGAGGUAGACAUUGAGGUAACCUCUGGGACCGUGAUAUCACUGUUGAGUGAGGUAGACAUACAGGCAGAUUCCAACAUUACGGUAACCUCUGGGACCGUGGUAUCACUGUUGAGUGAGGUAGACAUUGAGGUAACCUCUGGGACCGUGGUAUCACUGUUGAGGGAGGUAGACAUACAGUCAGAUUCCAAUGUUACGGUAACCUCUGGGACCGUGGUAUCACUGUUGAGUGAGGUAGACAUUGAGGUAACCUCUGGGACCGUGGUAUCACUGUUGAGUGAGGUAGACAUUGAGGUAACCUCUGGGACCGUGGUAUCACUGUUGAGUGAGGUAGACAUACAGGCAGAUUCCAACGUUACGGUAUCACUGUUGAGUGAGGUAGACAUUGAGGUAACCUCUGGGACCGUGGUAUCACUGUUGAGUGAGGUAGACAUUGAGGUAACCUCUGGGACCGUGGUAUCACUGUUGAGUGAGGUAGACAUACAGGCAGAUUCCAACGUUACGGUAACCUCUGGGACCGUGGUAUCACUGUUGAGUGAGGUAGACAUUGAGGUAACCUCUGGGACCGUGGUAUCACUGUUGAGUGAGGUAGACAUUGAGGUAACCUCUGGGACCAUGGUAUCACUGUUGAGUGAGGUAGACAUUGAGGUAACCUCUGGGACCGUGGUAUCACUGUUGAGGGAGGUAGACAUUGAGGUAACCUCUGGGACCGUGGUAUCACUGUUGAGUGAGGUAGACAUUGAGGUAACCUCUGGGACCGUGGUAUCACUGUUGAGUGAGGUAGACAUUGAGGUAACCUCUGGGACCGUGGUAUCACUGUUGAGUGAGG
Oncorhynchus tshawytscha (Chinook salmon) is the source of this 1195-nucleotide long non-coding RNA. RefSeq lists it as uncharacterized. Lineage: Eukaryota; Metazoa; Chordata; Actinopteri; Salmoniformes; Salmonidae. The record is from RefSeq and is a predicted model, not a curated record. The transcript has 4 exons.